RNAcentral lists this long non-coding RNA (1474 nucleotides) under Anas platyrhynchos platyrhynchos (common mallard). RNAcentral's name for it is "lncRNA (ENSAPLG00000030347.1)". The record is from RNAcentral. Lineage: Eukaryota; Metazoa; Chordata; Aves; Anseriformes; Anatidae.
CCAGCGGCCUGGGAGUGCCAGCAGAGGAGAGGAGGCGAUGCUGAUGAGGAAGCUGAGGCAUCAGUGGUGGGGACGUGGGGCAAAAUCCUCAGUUAGGAUUUUGUGAUCCAUCCCAGGCUCACCUCUGCUGCUGCUCCUCAGGCACCAGCCAGGGGCAGCCCCUGGCUUCUGGAAACCAUGCCAAAAAAAUCCCAGGUCUCACAAAACCCAACGGGGCCGGGGGCAUCCACCCCCUUCCCUCUCUCUCUGUUAUCUGCCCGUGGAAGAUGCUGGGGGGUGGCUGGCAGAAGCUAUAUUUCGAUAACAAGAACGAAACCAACAUGUGUACACAGUUGUUUUCCCUGCCUGGGGUCCGUGUAGUUCUCCUGGAAGGUUAAUAAAUGGUAUGCAAAUCCUCUUAAAUGGCCGUGUUUACACCACAGCUUAGUGGCUCCAGCCAUGUCCUCUACUUUUAACUCCCGAAGUUUGACUGCAAAAAGAAUUUGCUUCCCCACGCUCUUUAGAGCUCUCCCCAGGUUUUGUUCUCGCUUUUCUUCGGCGGUCUGCUCUUGUGAACGUAAAGGACAUCACCGGAGGAAAAAGAAAAAACUAAAAAAUUUGCCUAUUGAAGAAAAAAAAAAAAAGAAAAGGAAAAAAGAUGUUUUGCUUAAAGACAGGAGGCUACUGUAGUGUAAAAUGAAUGAUUAAUAAGGAUGAGAAAAACCUGGUUCAACAGGGCAAAUGCUCAAUAACAGCUCGUUUAAUCACUGGCAGAUUAGCUGCAAAUGCAAAGUGCCGGCUGCAGCGCUGUGCUAACUGCUCUGGGAAGUGUUGGCUACUCCUUUAAUGACAGCGUAACCUUUCAUUGUGCGUUUAUUUUAAAAAAGGCCCGGCCUUAAAUAUCCCAGCGCUUGAUUUCUUCCUUUCUCCUCCCUUUUUAUUUAUUUAUUUAUUUAUUUAUUGGCUUCUCCUGCCCUCGAUGAAUUUUCUGAUGCGGGGACAGGCUGUGAGCCGUGUCACCUCUGCAAAUAUCGCCGGGCUGGAGCCGUGUCUUUGGGGGAGAAUCAGAUUUCAGAAGGGCUGUAUGCAGAUUGUCUCUCCUGUUUGUGUCGAGGAGGGAGGCAGCAGCCGUGCUGGUGGGAUGGAGGCAGGGCCAGGCAGGAGCCCCCCUUGUUGCCCUCCACGAGCAGGUCCCCACACCCCCAGCACCCCCCUGGCCACCCACGUGCAGAGCGCGAGGUGUGAGCACGCCGGGCUCCGGGAGGCACUGGGAAGGCUCAGGGAGAAUCGCAGCAGCUAUCAGAAGGUCUUACAGGGACCAGGAGCUUUUGUCUUCCCCGCCUGCAGGCAAUUCCGGCCCCGCAACCAUUUAACCCUUCAGCACUGUGGAUGGGAUUGCGCUCGCACCACGAUGGGAGCAGAAAACCAGCAGCAUGAGCAGCUCCUGCUGCCAUGGGGAUGUCCGUGGCAGAGAGAGGCAGAUUUAGCCGUUUGA